This 253-nucleotide ribosomal RNA is filed under the name uncultured bacterium. RNAcentral's name for it is "partial 16S ribosomal RNA". It matches the Rfam family "Bacterial small subunit ribosomal RNA", at positions 524 to 776 of the family's 1533-position model. The record is from RNAcentral.
UACAGAGGUGGCAAGCGUUGUUCGGAAUUACUGGGCGUAAAGGGCGCGUAGGCGGCUUGGUCAGUCCCGUGUGAAAUCCCUCGGCUCAACUGAGGAACUGCACGGGAAACUGCCUGGCUUGAGUUCGGGAGAGGGAAGCGGAAUUCCGGGUGUAGCGGUGAAAUGCGUAGAUAUCCGGAGGAACACCGGUGGCGAAGGCGGCUUCCUGGACCGACACUGACGCUGAGGCGCGAAAGCGUGGGUAGCAAACAGG